AACGCACCUUGCGCUCUUGGGUUAUUCCUAAGAGCAUGCCUGUUUGAGUGUCGUGAACUUCUCAACCCCAGUUGGAUUUGCAAUUCGACUGGUGGCUGGACUUGGGGGCUUGCUGGCCGUUUCAAUUCGGUCUGCUCCCCUUGAAUGUAUUAGCUUGGACUUCUUCCUACGGCUGCAUAGCGUGAUAAUUAUCUACGCCUUGUCUGUCUGUGGAAUACUACUGGGUCUAGCUUCUAACUGUCCUCUGGACAAUCACUUCAAUCUUUGACCUCAAAUCAGGUAGGACUACCCGCUGAACUUAA
Molecule: unclassified non-coding RNA, 302 nt
Filed under: uncultured fungus
Lineage: Eukaryota; Fungi
Description: partial contains 5.8S ribosomal RNA, internal transcribed spacer 2, and large subunit ribosomal RNA
Source: RNAcentral